RNAcentral lists this ribosomal RNA (468 nucleotides) under uncultured bacterium. RNAcentral's name for it is "partial 16S ribosomal RNA". It matches the Rfam family "Bacterial small subunit ribosomal RNA", at positions 355 to 817 of the family's 1533-position model. The record is from RNAcentral.
UGGGGAAUUUUGGACAAUGGGCGCAAGCCUGAUCCAGCAAUGCCGCGUGCAGGAUGAAGGCCUUCGGGUUGUAAACUGCUUUUGUACGGAACGAAAAGGCUCUGGCUAAUACCUGGGGCACAUGACGGUACCGUAAGAAUAAGCACCGGCUAACUACGUGCCAGCAGCCGCGGUAAUACGUAGGGUGCGAGCGUUAAUCGGAAUUACUGGGCGUAAAGCGUGCGCAGGCGGUUUUGUAAGACAGAGGUGAAAUCCCCGGGCUCAACCUGGGAACUGCCUUUGUGACUGCAAGGCUGGAGUGCGGCAGAGGGGGAUGGAAUUCCGCGUGUAGCAGUGAAAUGCGUAGAUAUGCGGAGGAACACCGAUGGCGAAGGCAAUCCCCUGGCUGCACUGACGCUCAUGCACGAAAGCGUGGGGAGCAAACAGGAUUAGAUACCCUGGUAGUCCACGCCCUAAACGAUGUCAACU